This 1766-nucleotide ribosomal RNA is filed under the name Escherichia coli. Its description in RNAcentral is "partial 23S ribosomal RNA". It matches the Rfam family "Bacterial large subunit ribosomal RNA", at positions 1 to 1793 of the family's 2925-position model. Lineage: Bacteria; Pseudomonadati; Pseudomonadota; Gammaproteobacteria; Enterobacterales; Enterobacteriaceae. The record is from RNAcentral.
GGUUAAGCGACUAAGCGUACACGGUGGAUGCCCUGGCAGUCAGAGGCGAUGAAGGACGUGCUAAUCUGCGAUAAGCGUCGGUAAGGUGAUAUGAACCGUUAUAACCGGCGAUUUCCGAAUGGGGAAACCCAGUGUGUUUCGACACACUAUCAUUAACUGAAUCCAUAGGUUAAUGAGGCGAACCGGGGGAACUGAAACAUCUAAGUACCCCGAGGAAAAGAAAUCAACCGAGAUUCCCCCAGUAGCGGCGAGCGAACGGGGAGCAGCCCAGAGCCUGAAUCAGUGUGUGUGUUAGUGGAAGCGUCUGGAAAGGCGCGCGAUACAGGGUGACAGCCCCGUACACAAAAAUGCACAUACUGUGAGCUCGAUGAGUAGGGCGGGACACGUGGUAUCCUGUCUGAAUAUGGGGGGACCAUCCUCCAAGGCUAAAUACUCCUGACUGACCGAUAGUGAACCAGUACCGUGAGGGAAAGGCGAAAAGAACCCCGGCGAGGGGAGUGAAAAAGAACCUGAAACCGUGUACGUACAAGCAGUGGGAGCACGCUUCGGCGUGUGACUGCGUACCUUUUGUAUAAUGGGUCAGCGACUUAUAUUCUGUAGCAAGGUUAACCGAAUAGGGGAGCCGAAGGGAAACCGAGUCUUAACUGGGCGUUAAGUUGCAGGGUAUAGACCCGAAACCCGGUGAUCUAGCCAUGGGCAGGUUGAAGGUUGGGUAACACUAACUGGAGGACCGAACCGACUAAUGUUGAAAAAUUAGCGGAUGACUUGUGGCUGGGGGUGAAAGGCCAAUCAAACCGGGAGAUAGCUGGUUCUCCCCGAAAGCUAUUUAGGUAGCGCCUCGUGAAUUCAUCUCCGGGGGUAGAGCACUGUUUCGGCAAGGGGGUCAUCCCGACUUACCAACCCGAUGCAAACUGCGAAUACCGGAGAAUGUUAUCACGGGAGACACACGGCGGGUGCUAACGUCCGUCGUGAAGAGGGAAACAACCCAGACCGCCAGCUAAGGUCCCAAAGUCAUGGUUAAGUGGGAAACGAUGUGGGAAGGCCCAGACAGCCAGGAUGUUGGCUUAGAAGCAGCCAUCAUUUAAAGAAAGCGUAAUAGCUCACUGGUCGAGUCGGCCUGCGCGGAAGAUGUAACGGGGCUAAACCAUGCACCGAAGCUGCGGCAGCGACACUAUGUGUUGUUGGGUAGGGGAGCGUUCUGUAAGCCUGUGAAGGUGUGCUGUGAGGCAUGCUGGAGGUAUCAGAAGUGCGAAUGCUGACAUAAGUAACGAUAAAGCGGGUGAAAAGCCCGCUCGCCGGAAGACCAAGGGUUCCUGUCCAACGUUAAUCGGGGCAGGGUGAGUCGACCCCUAAGGCGAGGCCGAAAGGCGUAGUCGAUGGGAAACAGGUUAAUAUUCCUGUACUUGGUGUUACUGCGAAGGGGGGACGGAGAAGGCUAUGUUGGCCGGGCGACGGUUGUCCCGGUUUAAGCGUGUAGGCUGGUUUUCCAGGCAAAUCCGGAAAAUCAAGGCUGAGGCGUGAUGACGAGGCACUACGGUGCUGAAGCAACAAAUGCCCUGCUUCCAGGAAAAGCCUCUAAGCAUCAGGUAACAUUAAAUCGUACCCCAAACCGACACAGGUGGUCAGGUAGAGAAUACCAAGGCGCUUGAGAGAACUCGGGUGAAGGAACUAGGCAAAAUGGUGCCGUAACUUCGGGAGAAGGCACGCUGAUAUGUAGGUGAAGUCCCUCGCGGAUGGAGCUGAAAUCAGUCGAAGAUACCAGCUGG